Molecule: ribosomal RNA, 497 nt
Filed under: uncultured bacterium
Lineage: Bacteria
Description: partial 16S ribosomal RNA
Rfam family: Bacterial small subunit ribosomal RNA
Source: RNAcentral
GACGAACGCUGGCGGCGUGCCUAAUACAUGCAAGUUGAGCGCUGAAGGUUGGUACUUGUACCGACUGGAUGAGCAGCGAACGGGUGAGUAACGCGUGGGGAAUCUGCCUUUGAGCGGGGGACAACAUUUGGAAACGAAUGCUAAUACCGCAUAAAAACUUUAAACACAAGUUUUAAGUUUGAAAGAUGCAAUUGCAUCACUCAAAGAUGAUCCCGCGUUGUAUUAGCUAGUUGGUGAGGUAAAGGCUCACCAAGGCGAUGAUACAUAGCCGACCUGAGAGGGUGAUCGGCCACAUUGGGACUGAGACACGGCCCAAACUCCUACGGGAGGCAGCAGUAGGGAAUCUUCGGCAAUGGACGAAAGUCUGACCGAGCAACGCCGCGUGAGUGAAGAAGGGUUUCGGAUCGUAAAACUCUGUUGGUAGAGAAGAACGUUGGUGAGAGUGGAAAGCUCACCAAGUGACGGUAACUACCCAGAAAGGGACGGCUAACUACGUG